Molecule: ribosomal RNA, 400 nt
Filed under: phytoplankton environmental sample
Lineage: Eukaryota
Description: partial small subunit ribosomal RNA
Rfam family: Eukaryotic small subunit ribosomal RNA
Source: RNAcentral
AGCUCUAGAAGCGUAUAUUAAUUUUGUUGCAGUUAAAAAGCUCGUAGUUGGAUUUCUGGUGGGAGAGAUCGGUCCGUUCUAAGAAUGGUACUUGUAUCUUCUCCGGCCAUCCUUGGGUGGAGGCUGUCUGGCAUUGAGUUGUCGGGCAGCGGAUGCCCAUCGUUUACUGUGAAAAAAUUAGAGUGUUCAAAGCAGGCUUAUGCCGUUGAAUAUAUUAGCAUGGAAUAAUAAGAUAGGACUUUGGUACUAUUUUGUUGGUUUGCGCACCGAAGUAAUGAUCAAUAGGGACAGUUGGGGGUAUUCGUAUUCAGUUGUCAGAGGUGAAAUUCUUAGAUUUACGGAAGACGAACUACUGCGAAAGCAUUUACCAAGGAUGUUUUCAUUAAUCAAGAACGAAAGU